GUUGUACGGGUUUAGACCCGUAGCAAAUAGCUCCGUAACACGUGGUCAAACUACCCUCUGGACCGGAAUACCCUCGGGAAACUGAGGCUAAUUCCGGAUACUGCUUUCAUGUUGGAACACAGAAAGUCGGAAACGGUCCGCCGCCGGAGGACGUGACUGCGGCCGAUUAGGUAGACGGUGGGGUAACGGCCCACCGUGCCGAUAAUCGGUACGGGUUGUGAGAGCAAGAACCCGGAGACGGUAUCUGAGACAAGAUACCGGGCCCUACGGGGCGCAGCAGGCGCGAAACCUUUACACUGCACGCCAGUGCGAUAAGGGGACCCCGAGUGCGAGGGCAUACAGUCCUCGCUUUUCGUGACCGUAAGAAGGUCUCAGAAUAAGAGCUGGGCAAGACCGGUGCCAGCCGCCGCGGUAAUACCGGCAGCUCGAGUGAUAGCCACUAUUAUUGGGCCUAAAGCGUCCGUAGCCGGCCGAACAGGUCCGUCGGGAAAUCCACCCGCUCAACGGGUGGACGUCCGGCGGAAACCAGUCGGCUUGGGGCCGGGAGACCAGAGAGGUACGUCCGGGGUAGGAGUGAAAUCCCGUAAUCCUGGACGGACCGCCGGUAGCGAAAGCGUCUCUGGAGAACGGACCCGACGGUGAGGGACGAAAGCUUGGGUCUCGAACCGGAUUAGAUACCCGGGUAGUCCAAGCUGUAAACGAUGCUCGCUAGGUGUGGCGUUGGCUACGAGCCAGCGCUGUGCCGUAGGGAAGCCGAGAAGCGAGCCGCCUGGGAAGUACGUCCGCAAGGAUGAAACUUAAAGGAAUUGG
Molecule: ribosomal RNA, 810 nt
Filed under: Halococcus thailandensis
Lineage: Archaea; Methanobacteriati; Methanobacteriota; Halobacteria; Halobacteriales; Halococcaceae
Description: bacterial SSU rRNA
Rfam family: Archaeal small subunit ribosomal RNA
Source: RNAcentral